UGGAUCGUUAGAUGCAACCAUCAUAGGGGAUACAAUAGAGGCAUUACUGGAAACUAAUGCCAAUGCCAUAAUGGACCACGUUUGAAAGGUAAAACUUAAAUUGUAACAUCCUCCAAUAAUGCUUUCUUUAAAAUGCUAUGACACAAUAUUGAAACAUAUAUUUGAUCUACCAUAGGAACCAAAUAUAGAACUCAACAAAGUCAUGAAAAUCGAGAGUGGAACAGAACUAUUCUUUUACGUGAAGGUGACAGAGAAGCGCCACAACCCACCUGAAUCUCACUUUGAAAUCAUAUUUAUAUUCAACUUGUUCAAAGCAAUCACUGAUAGCAAUGCUUAAUAUGCAAUGACUGAAAUAAAUCCUUUAACUGCCAUAAGUGAUGUGAACAACUCAUUUUAAAUGAAAGAGAGCUUAGACAACAAAAUUAUAAAAGUCAAAAACAAGAUUUGCAGUCAAGCCAGUGAAGUUUCCACAGACACUAAAGAGGUCACUUCAUAGAAUGCAAAAAAGGUCUCUCUUCCAACCAUCAAAUGUAGCUAUUGAAAUAGACUCAAAACCUAAAAAGAAGACCUACACAGGCUACAAAAUCGAUGACCAAACCAAUACUCUCAUCUUGAAAGAAAAAUGUGAGUGAAGACCAUCUACAUUAAUUUUGUAACAAAAGGAAGUCAUGCAACGUAUUUCUUCUAUAGCUAUGAAAGAAGGGGCGAAAAAUGUUCAGGAACCUAAUGGUAAGUCUAUUUGUAAGUCUCCCGAAUAGCAAUAAAUUACUAUGACAUUAAGAGGUUCUUUUAAAUAUUUUAAUUUCGUAUUUAUCCUUCCGAUACGUACACUGUGAACUAUGAUCGGAUCAUACUAAUAUAAUUACUACAAAUAACAUGUGAAACUUGGAUUCAUCAUUAAAAAAUAGACUUAAGUUGCAUACUUCAUCCUAAACAUCAUAAUUAUGUUAACACUAUUAUCAUCUAUUAAACACAUGUUUCCUAUCAUUAGUAUAUUGAACAAUUCCAUUCAUAGCUUAAUAUCAUAAAUAACGUGCCUCAUUUUAUGACCUUUAUAACUUAUUGAUUUCUUC
Molecule: long non-coding RNA, 1073 nt
Filed under: Olea europaea subsp. europaea
Lineage: Eukaryota; Viridiplantae; Streptophyta; Magnoliopsida; Lamiales; Oleaceae
Source: RNAcentral